RNAcentral lists this ribosomal RNA (562 nucleotides) under uncultured bacterium. RNAcentral describes it as "bacterial SSU rRNA". It matches the Rfam family "Bacterial small subunit ribosomal RNA", at positions 337 to 916 of the family's 1533-position model. The record is from RNAcentral.
UCCUACGGGAGGCAGCAGUGGGGAAUAUUGGACAAUGGACCAAAAGUCUGAUCCAGCAAUUCUGUGUGCACGAUGACGGUCUUCGGAUUGCAAAGUGCUUUCAGUUGGGAAGAAAGAAAUGACGGUACCAACAGAAGAAGCGACGGCUAAAUACGUGCCAGCAGCCGCGGUAAUACGUAUGUCGCAAGCGUUAUCCGGAUUUAUUGGGCGUAAAGCGCGUCUAGGUGGUUUGAUAAGUCUGAUGUGAAAAUGCGGGGCUCAACUCCGUAUUGCGUUGGAAACUGUCAAACUAGAGUAUCGGAGAGGUGGGCGGAACUACAAGUGUAGAGGUGAAAUUCGUAGAUAUUUGUAGGAAUGCCGAUAGAGAAGUCAGCUCACUGGACGAAUACUGACACUGAAGCGCGAAAGCAUGGGGAGCAAACAGGAUUAGACACCCUGGUAGUCCAUGCCGUAAACGAUGAUUACUAAGCGUCGGGGGUCGAACCUCGGCACUCAAGCUAACGCGAUAAGUAAUCCGCCUGGGGAGUACGUACGCAAGUAUGAAACUCAAAUGAAUUGACGG